This is an RNA transcript of Triticum aestivum (bread wheat), 3012 nucleotides long. RefSeq lists it as uncharacterized. The record is from RefSeq and is a predicted model, not a curated record. Lineage: Eukaryota; Viridiplantae; Streptophyta; Magnoliopsida; Poales; Poaceae. The transcript has 2 exons.
CUAAUAAACCAGCGAUUGUUCCUGGUCGUCCGUCGUUAGUACUUUUGCAAAACGGUCCCUGUACUUUUGGGUAAUCAACCCGCAAUCCACGAUUAAGUGAACAACGUUUCGCUCAGCACGUUUUACAUAAAAACACCUCAUAUUUUACAUAAUCAGCCCGCAGUCCAUCACUAUCUCUUUCCUCCUGAGUCCGGGCGCUCCAGCCGGUUCCGAGCGAGAUGGGGCCGCUAUGCAGAUGACGCCGGGCGCGGCGGCGGCGAUCUCCGGCCAGAUCCGGUCGGGGAGGCGAGGCAGGGGCCAGAUCCUGUUCCGGGGACGGCGUGGAGGCGAUCUACGAGGCACGGGAGGAGGUCAGGCGGCGGGGCUUGAACUCCAGCAGGCCCCCUUUUGAUGGAUGGGGCCGCCCACAUCGCUAGCGACUCCUCGGAGGACGACAGGGCCUCCUCCUCCGCGUCCUCUAUCGGUUCGGCCUCCUGGCGCUCCCGGCCGCACAAGUGGAUUCACCUGCGGGGGCGCCGGCGCCGGCGACCGUUGUCCGCUCGGAGAGGAGAGGGCGGUGAAGCCAACGGCAAGGGCGACGGUGACGACGUGCAGGACCUCGCGCUGCCGCUGAGGAGAUGUCCUUCGCGGCGGUUCUUGCCCAGAUAAAAACUGUUGCAGCGGUAUAUGGAUUCAGAAGUGACGAGUGCCCAUGAUUAUGUUGCAGUACAUGCCUUUGGAAAACCAUGGCCAGUGUUGUUUCCACCGGACCGGGUCCUCUCUCCGCUGUUCUGAUCUAAUGUCGACUGUGUGCCGUUGGCUUUCCAUGCACAAGGUCCUACCGGCGGCAUUGGGCACCACGUGGGAAGCGGAAGGAGGAGCCGCAACUCUCCAUGCAAGCUCGGGUCAAUGUCAUCGCAAGUUCCGUGCUCGACGUUGCUGUUCAAUGUCGCCUCAGCUGAUUUCGCCCGCCGUCCGCCCGAUGCUCCACACUUUGCCGUAACUCAAUCUGCCAGUUCUCCGCUUGAGGUACGUACUGAAGCUAACCUGGCAAGAGGCAGGCAUGGGAGGCAUGAUUGUUGCUGAAGCGGAACUCAUGAAUGUCUCACGUCAUGUGGUUCUGUGCUAUUCUUAAUCUUCUUCUCUGAAGUGUGUAGUUUCAGUUCCACAUCAAAUGUGUUGCGCUUGCAGUGCGUACCAAUGUACAGUUUACCGAUGUGUAUAUAUGCGGAGUCGAUGGAAAACAUUGAAGCCAGUAGUUGUAUACCUAUUUCAAAAAUCAGCAAGUGGUUAGUAACAUUCUACAUCAAGGUAUUACAGAGAGAAAGGAGUAUCUCCUAUUUUAUUUUUGUGGGAUUGGGAGCAAUUUAGAAACUUAUGAAAAUAUAGGAAUCAUUCUCACUUUAAUCUCCAGUCCUCUUGUUUUGCUUCAUUUAUCAUGCAUUAUGCAUGUCAUAUGUUCCCACAAAUGCCUGGCAGAAGCACAACUUUCAUAGGGAACGUAGAAUGGUCACUUUGGUAGCAGGGCAGAUGCACAUUCCCAGUGUAUAUGUAAAAUUAUAUGCAUAUCUAGCCAUAGAAAUACAUGCAUCUGAACUGCAUCGGACAUAGUGUCGGACUGUCAGCCUAAAAUAUUCCUCUUUAUAUCAUUCUCUAUUUCUGUGAAUAUGCAAAUAUAAGUGCCAUGUAUGUGCUUGUGGAACUUUUGCUGUAAAAUUUCACUCUUCUUUACGAAAAGUAGGUUGAAGAAAGUUUUGAUUUUUCUUGGAUAGGUUAUCAUAUGACAGAACGUCUGGGGUGAAAGCUAAGCUACUUCCAAUGGUAAGAAUUGAAAUCUGGAUGAAACCUCCAUUAUUUGUUUUAUAUAUUUUUAGAUACAUGAGAGAACUAAUGAUAUUUUUAGACUGUAGAACAACCCUUUCAAGGAUUCUCUCUCUAUGAGCAUAUAUAUUGCCUCAGCUUAUAUCCAUUGCCGCACGCAUGGGCGUGUCAGUAGCAUUACUUUGAUAACAUGUCUAUAUCACUGUAAUGUUGGACAUAAGUUCUGCUACAUCCAAACAAGCUUAUCUGAUUUCCAAGAAGAGUAAAAAAAAUCUUUAGUAAUUUCCUGGAUUUUGCUUAUAUCACUGUAAUGUUGGACAAUAAGUUCUUAAUACAUUUGGAGCAUCUACUCUCUGGUAAGGAGUCAUGGGGAAGUCUAUAUUUUUAGUUGACAUUGUAAAUAAUUUUAAUGCCCACAAUUUUUUUUCUUGUUUCUUUUCAGGUCCCAAAUGAGAAGGCAAGAAGGUAUCAGCUGUAUGAGAAGACCCCCGCACAUGCCCAUUCCAUUCUCUAUGAAGUCAAAAGUUUCCCACUGAAUAUAUUUGGUACUAAAAUGGUCGUUAUGUCAGCACGACGAUCGUGUGCCUAUUGUUGGCUCUUAAUUCUUUAGGAUUAUUUGAUUUGUUUGAUUCAUUCUGUUCAUAUUUAUGCAGCAACAAAAUACAGUCAAGAUCAGGGUGUGUGAGGGUUAAACAUGUUAAUUUAUGUGGCAUCAAGCUAUGUAUGUUAAUAGCAUGAUCUCCUUUUCUUUUGCUUUGCAGAAUUAUUCUCGACACUGGAGAUAUAUGCUAAUCCUCUAGCUUUGCUAAUUUUAUCUUUUGAUUUCAUUUCAGUGGUGGAGUAUUGCACCUCAUUCACAGUUGUAGAUGUGUGUCAAGAUAUCAAAUCAUCUGUCUUUUAGGUCAACGGCAUGCCCAAGGUGGUUCACCCCUAGAUUUAAAUGACUCUAAAGUCCAUGGUCCACCUAAUAAAGAUAGAAAUAAUUAUGUUGGUAAGGUGGGUUAAACCCAACUUAAGCUCACACUGUUUUUAUGUUCUCUUACACCUGCAGGUAUUAUUAAACAAUAUCCUAACUGAAUAUCAAACACAUUGCUGGCUACAUGAUAUGUAAAGUAAAAUGUAUGUUGCUACUAAAAUUUAUAUCCGAAUGAUGGUGGCCAUUAUCUAUUUUUAAGCAAACAUAUCUCCCAAGUUUGACAAAGGUUUCCUUCA